GCAAGUCGAGCGGGGAGAGGUAGCUUGCUACUGGACCUAGCGGCGGACGGGUGAGUAAUGCUUAGGAAUCUGCCUAUUAGUGGGGGACAACAUCUCGAAAGGGAUGCUAAUACCGCAUACGUCCUACGGGAGAAAGCAGGGGAUCUUCGGACCUUGCGCUAAUAGAUGAGCCUAAGUCGGAUUAGCUAGUUGGUGGGGUAAAGGCCUACCAAGGCGACGAUCUGUAGCGGGUCUGAGAGGAUGAUCCGCCACACUGGGACUGAGACACGGCCCAGACUCCUACGGGAGGCAGCAGUGGGGAAUAUUGGACAAUGGGCGCAAGCCUGAUCCAGCCAUGCCGCGUGUGUGAAGAAGGCCUUAUGGUUGUAAAGCACUUUAAGCGAGGAGGAGGCUACUUUAGAUAAUACCUAGAGAUAGUGGACGUUACUCGCAGAAUAAGCACCGGCUAACUCUGUGCCAGCAGCCGCGGUAAUACAGAGGGUGCAAGCGUUAAUCGGAUUUACUGGGCGUAAAGCGCGCGUAGGCGGCUAAUUAAGUCAAAUGUGAAAUCCCCGAGCUUAACUUGGGAAUUGCAUUCGAUACUGGUUAGCUAGAGUGUGGGAGAGGAUGGUAGAAUUCCAGGUGUAGCGGUGAAAUGCGUAGAGAUCUGGAGGAAUACCGAUGGCGAAGGCAGCCAUCUGGCCUAACACUGACGCUGAGGUGCGAAAGCAUGGGGAGCAAACAGGAUUAGAUACCCUGGUAGUCCAUGCCGUAAACGAUGUCUACUAGCCGUUGGGGCCUUUGAGGCUUUAGUGGCGCAGCUAACGCGAUAAGUAGACCGCCUGGGGAGUACGGUCGCAAGACUAAAACUCAAAUGAAUUGACGGGGGCCCGCACAAGCGGUGGAGCAUGUGGUUUAAUUCGAUGCAACGCGAAGAACCUUACCUGGCCUUGACAUAGUAAGAACUUUCCAGAGAUGGAUUGGUGCCUUCGGGAACUUACAUACAGGUGCUGCAUGGCUGUCGUCAGCUC
RNAcentral lists this ribosomal RNA (1010 nucleotides) under Acinetobacter nosocomialis. RNAcentral describes it as "bacterial SSU rRNA". It matches the Rfam family "Bacterial small subunit ribosomal RNA", at positions 57 to 1061 of the family's 1533-position model. The record is from RNAcentral. Lineage: Bacteria; Pseudomonadati; Pseudomonadota; Gammaproteobacteria; Moraxellales; Moraxellaceae.